UCCCCACCGCCGUCCUUCCCGUCCCACGUCUGCCCCGCCCUCUUUAUCCCACCCCCGCCUCGUUUCCUCCUCUGCCCGCCCUCUCUCCGCACCUCGGGGUCCCAAAUCCCACCCCUGCCGCGCUUUCCGCCUGGGCCGGCGCUUCGUGGAAGUCACGUGGUGGCUCCGAAACCCCGGAGGAAAGGCGAAGCCCACCCACGCGAGGCGACUUCAGGGCGGCUGGGGGUCAGGGUGGCGCCACGCAGCCUUUGGGGUCCUUCGGCCGCUCCCUGGGAACUCAGGCUGAGAAACACAGUGGGUGUUUUGGGGUCCGUGUUUUCUUCCCCGGUCCCAUCGCUGCAUCUUCCUGCGCGUCAGCCACGCCCUGUGCCCGCCCCCCAGCGCAGGGGUCACCGUCCCGGGGGACUUUCUCCGCGGCGACCAGACAUCCGAGCGCCACUCUCGCUCCUCCCGCGGCCCCGGAGGCGCGGCCUUGGGGCGAGGAUAGCGGCUUCACCGAGUCCCACCGGGCACCCCGAGCCGCGGCCGCCCCAGGGACUCGCGGAUUUAUCCGCUCGUGCCAAAGGUGGGGACCGGGUUGAAGUAGGGCAAGUACUGGUCCACCUGCCUGCCCAUCAAAAUUGCGAAGCCAAGACACUUACACGUGGUCCUAGCAAAGGAAACGCUAGCGGCUACGGGCUGUGGUCUGCAUGCUGUGAGCACCUGGAAAGAAAGAUAACCGCGAGUCUGGAUGGGCGAGUGGGAACCAGACCGGAAAGGCAGAAGUGCCUACCGAGUGUGGUCGCUUGGGUCUUCAGGUUCGUGGGCAGCAGUGGACAUGGGGGACAGGCAUUUCCGAUUCCUUUUAAAAUCUCAAAUGAGUGCACCUGCCCGCCGCCGGGAUUUAGGACCCAUUCUUGCAAACGCUUUGAGAGAGGUUGAGUGAACUUGGCUGCCUUGCUGCCAGCAGGAAAGCGAGCAGAGAUUCUUGUCUUUGUGAUCAGAAGCUUCGGCCAACUGAGAGGAGGGGAGGAAGACAGAAGGUGGACACAGCCCAUGAGUCGCAGCGCCACACUCCACAUCAGCAAGGCUGCGCAGCAGAGCCAGCACUACGCUGGGUUAUCCGCUCAGAUUAAUCUCAUCUCCCUUUUAUUUCAGCACUCAGCUUAACGCGUGGUUGCCUCGGGACUAUUUUGCCUCCCACACAGCUACCCACGUAGGUGCCUAGCACAGCACUCUACAUACACACAGCAGGUGCUCAUUGCACUAGGUCAGCUGAGAGCCCUCAUUCUUGAAACACUAAAAGGACUCUAACGAGCUAGGAAAACCCCUGGGUCAAGGGAUUAUCAUUUUCAGAAGCGAUUUCAUUCCCCAGUGUUAUUGAUGCACGGAAAGGGCAAGGUAAAAACAUCUCGGGAACAUUCCUGUGCACUCCCACGCUUUAUUCUCGUCAUGCCCACUUUUCUCACUGAGCCACCUCACAUUUUAAGUCUUUUGGGGCUGCAUCCUCCCUGUCUCUCCCCAGGGAGCCUGGAACCAUGCCCCAGCACACAAGAACUCUUUUUAUAGGCAUAGUCUACUGCCUUGUGUUACCCAAGUGUUUCUUUAAAUAUAUUUUGUCUUGGUUAACUAGGUAGCAUUUAGGACAGAGGUCAAUUUGAUGUAAAUAUCAUACAUCAAACUGGAUUAAAUAGCUAGAUACGAAAAUGAAAAUCAGAGAGCUAAAGCAGAAUUAAAUUCUUAUUUUAGUCCUGGAAGCACCGGCAACAUAGUGAGACCCCUAUCUCUACCUAAAAUGGUAAGAAAUCAACUAGCUGAGUGUGGUGGUACACACCUGUAGUCCCAGUUACUCAGGAGGCUGUGGCAGGAGGAGUUUGAGGCUGGAGUGAGCUAUGAUUGCACCACUGCACUCCAGCCUGGGCAACAGAGCAAGUCCUUAUCUCAGAUAAACACAUAAAAUAAAAUAAAGUGGUGGAGCUAAGAUAAGGAGAUUUUAUAAGGCUACAUGUAAUAGGAGAAAUGGCCUUGAUAAGAUCUGAUCUACAUAAAAGGGCUAAAUUGUUUUAGAUGACAGUGUAGCCAGAAAUGCAAAACAGAUUGGAUAAAUACCCUGUGUAUGAGAAAGGGUUAAUAUACAGCCCAUGGAAAAGAAGAAAAAUACUGAGACAACUUGCAAAGGUAAAUUGCAGAAGUGACAUGAAAUGGUAUUUCCCAGCAGAAGAAAUAAUUAAGAAAAAUAUAUACAGGAAAAAUACAUAUUAAAAUAAGAAUCCUUUUUAAAUUAGCAACAUAAAAAGUAGUAAUAUCAAAAGCUGGUGAGAGUGUGGUGAAAUUAGUGCUCACUUGUUUCACUGGCUUCAUUGUAAAUUGGCACAAACUUGCUGGAAAGCAGUUUUACUGUCACUUUCAAGGCCAGAAAAAAGUCAUUACUUCUUACUCAAUUUCCCCACUAAUAGAAAAUUAUUCUAGGAUGAUCAUUGAAAAUACUAGAGAGAAAAAUACUAUAUGCACUAAACGUUCAUGAUAAUAUUUUAAGAGUGAAAAAUGUAAGCAACAUAAAUGUCUAAUUAUAGUUGAAUGGCUAAACAAAAUACGCUAUUGCCACAGGAUAGAAUGUUACGCAUCUUUAAAAUUACAAGCAUGCAGGCUGGGUGCAGUGGCCCGCGCCUGUUUUAACAGCUCCUCUAGAGGCUGAAGUGGGAGGAUCAUUCAAGCCCAGGAGUUCAAGGCUGCAGUGAGCCAUGAUUACACCACUGCUCUCCAGCCUGAGCAACAGGGUGCUACCCUGUCUCAAAAAAAAAAAAAAAAUACAAACAUGCAGACAAAUUUGCCACAUGGAAGGUUUAUUUGAUCUGAAGUAAAGUGAGAAAAAAUCAGGUUACAAAAAGUACAUAUAUGACAUGAACAGUAUGUAAAAACGUAUGCAUGUGAGAAGAGACUGGAAGGAAACCUACAGUGAUGGUAGCCUUUCUCUCAUAACGGUGGCAUUAUAAUUUCUGUACUUGUUGAAAAAUUGUUUUUAUUAUGUUAGCAUCUUAAAACAUUUCAUAUGUAUAAGUGAUAUAAAUAUAUUUAUCUGAUCCCUUUCCCUGGCACUAAGCUCAUUGGCCACAUCAGAAUGGCCAGCACUUCUCUGAUCAAAGGGUUUGCUCUAAUAACAGACAUUUUCCUUGCUUUUGUGUAAUGUUCUCUGGUUUAUUUUACUCUCUUAAGUCAGGAGAAAGAAAAAUCAC
This 3212-nucleotide long non-coding RNA is filed under the name Callithrix jacchus (white-tufted-ear marmoset). Its description in RNAcentral is "lncRNA (ENSCJAG00000082807.1)". Lineage: Eukaryota; Metazoa; Chordata; Mammalia; Primates; Cebidae. The record is from RNAcentral.